Long non-coding RNA from Pteropus alecto (black flying fox), 10154 nucleotides. RefSeq lists it as uncharacterized. The record is from RefSeq and is a predicted model, not a curated record. NCBI's taxonomy places the organism in Eukaryota, Metazoa, Chordata, Mammalia, Chiroptera, Pteropodidae. The transcript has 4 exons.
GAUGCCUUCUUGGAGAGGAGCAGAGAGAAGAGUGGAACUCUUAUCUGUUAAGCACUUAACUGAGUCAUCUAAGUAGAGGCUGUUUUCCUACAAAGACAUUUCGAAGUAUACAAUUAAACUGAGAUUGGAUAUGCCACGUGACUAAUUGUGGAGCGUUUUGCUGCUGAUGUGUGACUUUCCAGAGCUCCUUUCCCCCCGCUGGUGUGGCCGCUGGCAAAGUUUGAGGAGGUGGCUGAUCUAUCAGCCUGGGUAUCUGAGUCUAUGGUGAGCAGAGCUCCGAGAUGACCUGUGAUGGACAUGUAGCAUGAGUGGGAAAUACAGCGCGUUGUUUCGGCUUUUUGUUACCACAACAGAACUCAGCCUGUCCUGAGACAGGUGUUUUAAUGAAGGGAAGUGACUUACCAAAGAUAUUUAUUUUCUCUAAAGGGAACGCUGCAUGGUGCUUUCUUCUAAUGGUUCAUCUCUUUGUAUGUGGAUGUUUCUUUCAUAGUGAAAGAAGUAAAGACAAUUACGUGUUAACCUAAAAAUAAAAAAGUCAAGGUGAGAGGCAACAAGUGUUUAUCUGAGAUCCAAAAGAACAGCUAUUCUGAAAGCACCGAUUCAGGCAGAAACCCAAAUGGUGUUCUGAUUAGGAGGUGAAGGCAAAAGAUAUUUAUGAGAUAUAAAAGGGGGAAAUUACAUGAAUAGAAGGAAGGAAUUCCUAUGGGUGUUAAUAAGUUACGGAAGGAAUUUCUAUAGAGACAAAUAAGCUAAUGUGGAGGAGGAAAAAUAUUUUUCCUUCCUUUUACCUUUUAAGUUCUGGCUGUACUAAUAAUCAACAUGAGACAGAUUAACAGGAGAAAAGUACAAAAUUCAUCGCAUAAAUACAUAUGGGGAUUCCAUACGACUAUGAGACCUGAGGACACAUUGGACAGUUGAGGCUUCCAUGCCAUCUUGAACUAAAGAGAAGGGGAGCGGUGGUGGUUGUGGUUUGGGACCUCAAAGGACAGGAAGGCAAGUCAUAUGGAGGUAGAAGAGCAAAUGUUUGAUAAAAAAUGUGUUCUAGGUUAUCUUUAACAAUGGGACACAGAGAGUACUUUUAUCAAAGGGGCCCUGCAAGGUUCCUCCUUGUAAUAAAGGACACAUUUGAAUUAGAAUUCUUAAGAAAAACCAUGGCUAAUUAAGAUUAGCAGUCUUAACUUUGCCCUUAAAAUUUAAGCCAAUUAUUUUUUGGAAUCUAUUCUACUAAUUGUGUCAACAAAUUUGGCUUCAAUUUUAUUCUAAUAUAUAUUUUCACUGUUGUAGCAUGUCUUUCUUUAUUCAUGAUGAACAACUCUUUCCGACACUGCAAUACCUGAGUCAUCGCUAAGGCAACCCUCGGGGCUCUAUCCUGGAGCCUUCACUUAUCGCAAGGUUAUAAGGAUUUUCUCAUUUCCUGAUUAUGCUCCGUAACAUGCCCUCCCAAUGUCAGAUAUUUAUUAAAUAUCUUUAACUGUUUCAAUUUCAUUGAAAAAUGAAAUUAAUAUGAAAAUAUGUGUCAAAGGGAAAUUUAAUAAAUAUCUGGCAUAAAAUAGUUUCCUCCUAGACCAUAUUCAAAAUUUCCUUAGAUCAGUUAAGAUGUUUUCAGUUGUGAAUAGCAACAUCCGACUACAAACAGGGAGUUUAUUGUCUUACCUAACAAGAAGUCGAGAGGCAGAUGGUCAUCCCAGGCUGAACUGUGUCACCAGUGAGCCAGGCCCUUUUUUUCCCUAUAUGUUGCCAUCCUCAGCAUAUUCUGUUUUGUCUACUGUUUAAUGGCUGCAAUAGGGCCUCCACAGUUCCCAGAGCUUAUGAAAUGACAGGAAGGAAGAGGUGGGAAAGAAAGUUCUCCUCAACUAUCUUGCUUUCAUCAAGAUGGAAAAAUCUUUCUAGAAGCCUCUAGAGAGAGUGCUGCUGAAAGGUUCAUUGACCAAACUUGGGCACAUGGCCAGCCCUACUUGGAAGGAAGAUGAGAGAGAAAGUAUCUGGCAAUUUUAGCCUCCGUUAUGGGGAGCAGACCCUGCCAGAUGGAGAAAGAGGGAGACGAAUGGCUUUUGAGUAGGCGACCAAAAGAGUGUGCCAAUUCAUAUUUUGGGAGAAUAUUCCUAAUUUAAAAACCUGUGAUAUUACCAAAGUUCUAAGAGCAUUCCAAGUAGCUGCCUCUUCUCUAUAUUUCCUGUUUUGACUUGACAAUUUUAAAUGGGCUCUAAGAAACCCAAUUCAGCAUGAGAAAUAUUUUAUACUACAUAAAACAACCACAAGUAGAUUAAGGAAAUAAGUAGGCUGUUUGAAUAAAAGCCUGCUUGAUUUCCAUUUACUAAGGGAGAUCUUCUGAAAACCUGUGUGUUGCUUUAUGUCCACAGAUCUUGCAGUGUUCAAAAAGAUGUGCCAAUGGUGUUCUUGCAGCAACAUUAAGGAAAAUCAUUUAGUACCUUCUACAACUUUACUUUUUAGGUUGCAUCCAGUUAUUUCAAACCAUCACUCUCCAAAGUGUGCUAAAGGCCGUGGCUCAGAACUCUCCCGGGGCAAAUCCUUCAGUCUGCAUCUCUUCUGUACUUAGCAAUUGAUGUCCAUUUUACUUUUACAUUUAUUUGCUGAUAAGACAUACGGUUUUCUUUAACUGUUUCAAUUUCAUUGAAAAAUGAAAUUAAUAUGAAAAUAUCUGUUAAAGGACAUUAGUGUCCAAUCACUACAUCUUUUCCACCUGUCAUUCAUAUGGACAUAACUAGAACAUAUUAAAUAGAAUUAAAUAUACUAUAUGUACCACAUCAGUGUUUCUCAACUGGGAUGACCAUGCCCCCCAGGGGACAUUUGGCAAUGUGUAGAGAUCCUUUUGAUUGUCACAACAGGGGAGAAGGUAGGGUGCCAAUGGCAUCUAGUAGAUAGAAGCCAAGAAUGAGGCCAGUCACCCUAUAAUUGACAAGAUAGCUCACCGCAACAAAGAAUGAUGUGGCCCCACAUGUCAACAGUGUCAGGGUUGAGAAACUCUGGACUACACCAAGUACUUUGAUGCUUCAAAUACAACACAAACUGGUUCUUUGUUCGUUAGAAUUCCUACACAGGAAAGAAUGAAUUAUUAUCGUUCUAAGUCAUCUCAACAGUUUCUCAGGCGAAGUGUUGAUUCUUAUAAACUGCAAAAUAUUAGGUCGAAAUCUAGCUUGUAUGUAGUAUUUCUUUUGAAUGAGAAAUUCCAUUUUUUGAUGUUACAAUAUUUUCUUUUCAUGCAAAGAUAGAACUUAGACGGAGCCUUCCUUCCUGAAACGCCUUCUUAAAAAAAUUGUGUUUUUUUCAGUCUGUCCGGAGGGUAAAGGUUUCAGAACAGGCCUCCCUAAGGUGUGCCACUUUGGCAUGUGAAUUAUUUUGAGCUGAAGGCAAUAGAGACCCUGUGGGCUCAAGGGAACCUUUUAUCUCUCCCUUAAAGAAUUUAAAUUGCGGGCCUUGCACAUAAGAGUUAUCACUGUAAACAACGUUUUAUGGCCUAAUUACUGAACAUUUGCUCUUCCUAUCUUUCUGCAGUGAUUAUCUCUUAAUCCCCAAGGUGCCUUACCUCAUCCUUAGCUCAGAAUAUUAGAUAUACCUCAUUUUCCCUUUCUGUUUCUGAACCCCGUGUAUGUGGGGUUCCCAUACAUGCAUAUAUAAUUAAAUUUGGUAAUUUUCUCUUGUUAAUCUGUCUCAUCUCGAUUUGAUUAUUUGACCAGCUGGAAGAACCUAGGAGGGUAGAGGAAAAUUUGUUCUACCUGUGGUGAAUCUGAACUUUACUAACAUCGCAAAGAGUUCUCACCAAGGCAUGAACUUAGAUGUGUUUGGUAUAAAUUAUAUGGCUGUCAGAAAGUCACUUAAAAAACUUUCUCUGUGCCUCAGUAUUUCCCUGUCUGUAGAAUAUACACCAACCUUGCUUGUAGAGAUAAUUUCAAAAUAUUUCACUUGGAAAGAAAGUCACCAACCAAAUCUAAGAUAGAAGUUAACAUCAUGUUCAUGUUAACCUUCCUAUUGUUUAUAAUUUAAAUGUUUUUUAUUUUUAAUUGAGAGUUGGCAAACCUUUCUUGUCUUUGAAAGUCUGACUAGGGGAACACAGAGAAGGAAAUUCGUUUUCUUUCUUCUUUCUUUAAGGAAGAUUGUUCUAUAGUCCAUCAGGCUGUUCUAAUAUCUAGCCUAUAAUUUUUCAUGAUAAGAUAUGACACAUUACAAUGUAGAUUGAUAUAACUAGUUUGGAAAGGAAUUUAUCGAUAUUUAUCAACUAACCUCAAAAAUGUCCAUGGCCUUUGAAACAGUAAUUUAUUUUCUGGGCAUUUAUCCUAAAGAAAUCAUCCUAAAUAUACAUGAGGCUUUAUACAAGGAGAUGUUCCUAAAAGUGUAGGUAACUGGAAACUAUCUAAUUGUCCAACAACCAAAAUAGUGGAAUGGAUAGGUUAAAUUGACUGACUUGACUCAGCUUUAUGUCCACUUAAAGAUAUUAAAAAUUAUUUUUAUAGGUCAUAUGUGAUAACAUGGGAAAAUAUUGUUAAAAAAUAAAACAGAAUCUGGAAUUUUGUUCACUGUGUGAUUAUAAUAGCAUAAGAAAAGAAAUCAAGCAAAAUCCUAUAAACUGGUAUAAUCAAAGUUGUUUACCCAACAAUUCCACUUCUGAGGGAUGAUCCCAGGGAAAUGAUUGACUGGAAGGAAAGUAACCACCAUGAACAAAGGUAGAAAUAACCAUAAUGGUUUUUAGUAAAAAUGUGGAAACAACUCGUGUCCAACAAUUCAAAUAUAAAGGAUUAGUAAGAUUCAUUAUGAUACAACUAUACAACAGAAAAAUGAACAGCCAAUAAAUGAUGUAGAAACAUGGUCAUUAACUUGACAAUAUAUUCACAACAUACAUAUUAAGUGAAAAAAAAUGCCAAUUAAAAAGAGUACAUACAUUAAAAAGGUAAGAAUGUUUACAUGCAUACAAGUCUGAAAGGAUAUUCUCCCCAAAGUUAGCUGGUUAUCUUUGGUGGAACAAUCGGGUAGAUUUUUGUUUUUUUUUUUUUUUCAUUUCAUACAUAUGCAUUUUUUCAUAUUCCUAUAGUAAGUAUGAAUACCUGCAUUUAAAAAAAGAGAAAAGAAAUACAUCAAAAUGUUAGCAAUGCCUGCAGAAUAGGACUAUAGAUCUUAUUUACUUUUACAUUUUGCUUCCUGUAUUUUCCUGUGUGAAAAAUAAUAUAAAUAGAGCCACUUCAAAAUAGAGUCAGAGCUCUCAUCCCAAAGGAACUGCCUUGCACAUCUUAGUCCACAAACCUUUGGAAUGUUAAAACAUUAGGGCAAAAUACCUUUGAACUGGGCCUAAAGCAGCAUUGUAUUCCAAACAACUGUCUUUAAAGAUAAUAGGAAAGCAGACAUUAUGACCAUGGGACUGAAAAUUAAAGAACAUUGUUUAGAAUUAGCAUCACUACAUUAGUGAGUGGAAGCAGAGGUUGUCACCUUUUUAAGAUAUUGAUUGUUUUAAGUUGAUAGUUUUUAAGAAAUGAAAGACUCAGGAAAAAACUUUGACCUUCUCCCUAACUGUGCAAAACAAUUUGGAUAAAGGACCUGCUCCAGAAAGGGAGCUAUCAUCCUAGAUAAUGAUAGCUUAGUAUAAACUAGUGUAUGUUAGACAAGGAGGAACCUUGCAGGGCCCCUUUGAUAAAAGUACUCUCUGUGUCCCAUUGUUAAAGAUAACCUAGAACACAUUUUUUAUCAAACAUUUGCUCUUCUACCUCCAUAUGACUUGCCUUCCUGUCCUUUGAGGUCCCAAACCACAACCACCACCGCUCCCCUUCUCUUUAGUUCAAGAUGGCAUGGAAGCCUCAACUGUCCAAUGUGUCCUCAGGUCUCAUAGUCGUAUGGAAUCCCCAUAUGUAUUUAUGCGAUGAAUUUUGUACUUUUCUCCUGUUAAUCUGUCUCAUGUUGAUUAUUAGUACAGCCAGAACUUAAAAGGUAAAAGGAAGGAAAAAUAUUUUUCCUCCUCCACAUUAGCUUAUUUGUCUCUAUAGAAAUUCCUUCCGUAACUUAUUAACACCCAUAGGAAUUCCUUCCUUCUAUUCAUGUAAUUUCCCCCUUUUAUAUCUCAUAAAUAUCUUUUGCCUUCACCUCCUAAUCAGAACACCAUUUGGGUUUCUGCCUGAAUCGGUGCUUUCAGAAUAGCUGUUCUUUUGGAUCUCAGAUAAACACUUGUUGCCUCUCACCUUGACUUUUUUAUUUUUAGGUUAACACGUAAUUGUCUUUACUUCUUUCACUAUGAAAGAAACAUCCACAUACAAAGAGAUGAACCAUUAGAAGAAAGCACCAUGCAGCGUUCCCUUUAGAGAAAAUAAAUAUCUUUGGUAAGUCACUUCCCUUCAUUAAAACACCUGUCUCAGGACAGGCUGAGUUCUGUUGUGGUAACAAAAAGCCGAAACAACGCGCUGUAUUUCCCACUCAUGCUACAUGUCCAUCACAGGUCAUCUCGGAGCUCUGCUCACCAUAGACUCAGAUACCCAGGCUGAUAGAUCAGCCACCUCCUCAAACUUUGCCAGCGGCCACACCAGCGGGGGGAAAGGAGCUCUGGAAAGUCACACAUCAGCAGCAAAACGCUCCACAAUUAGUCACGUGGCAUAUCCAAUCUGGAGGGGACCAGGAAGUAGGUAAAACAGGUUAUAUUUGGCAAAUGGCACCCGACAACACGGCCUCAAAAUAUAGUAAGCAAAUAUUGAGAGAACUCUAAGAAGACCUCAAGAAAUCUGUAAUCCCAGUGGUUAUAUUUCUGGCACCUGUUACUGGAGUCUGUAGCCAACUUGGUCUUGUUAGAUACAAGCAUUGUAGAAAGUGCACAGAUGUGUUAGGUGGAGAACGGAAAUCACAAGAAAAUAGGACAUGCUCUUUGUGAAAUCAUAAGGGAACAUUGCAUUUGUUGAUUGUGCAUGGCAAAAAGAGGAUGGGGGAGCAUGCGACACGUACAUAUGUGGCAACCUUUCAAAUUUACUCACAUAUUAGGUUGGGCUAAAAUUGUAGCAUUCUUAUAUCUCUAAGUCUGCUCUGAUUUACCUUACAAUCUCCCAUCCUCUAGGUAGAAGUGGGGGGAGGGCACAAGAUCAAAUCCAAUUUACUAACCUCAGUUUAAUUGUAUACUUCGAAAUGUCUUUGUAGGAAAACAGCCUCUACUUAGAUGACUCAGUUAAGUGCUUAACAGAUAAGAGUUCCACUCUUCUCUCUGCUCCUCUCCAAGAAGGCAUCAGGGUGUUUGAGGGAGGGGUGUGUGAUUUCCCGAGUUCAUAGGGGCAAAGGGCAGAUGUUAAUCCCACUGAAGCAAAGCAAGAUUUAGAGCUGCACCCUCCUGUUUUCUGCUUUCCCAGCAGCAUAGCUGACAUACUUCCUGCCUUAGUACUCCAACCUGGGAGGAGGCUAUCAGGACAAUUGUGUCUUGUGACCUCCCUCCCAGACUCCAUUCCCCCUUUCUUUUCCCUAUAACUGAACCCAAAAGUGGGGAGUGGAGGAGACUUUUCCCCUCUUCUUUACGGCCUGGGGGGCCUCCCUUCUAUUCUGCACACAGGGUCUACGAAUUAAAAAGGAAGCUUUGUUAUUUAGAAAUCCCUUUCUUUAAAAAGCCUGGGUUUUAUGCACAUCGUCUUACUAAAAAGAGGUCAGGAAAAUCAGCUCUGAGUGAUGAAUAGACCCUCUGCUCUGGGCAGCACCUGUCUGUCCUUUCCUUCUUGGGACAAUAAGCUUGAUGACUCUGUCAGAAGGCUACCAGGAAAUAGGAUUUAAAGGGGGAAAUCAAAAUGCAUUGGUUUAAGUCUUCUAAAAUGUGUUCACCAGAGAGGUGAAAUGGGACGAACUAAAGUGCUGAGAUUCAAUUUCUUGGGUGUCUUGUGAGAUCCAUGUCUUGUCUUCAUUGAAACAAACUGUACAUUUCAAAACACAACCCUAAUGAAAAUAUAGAAUGAAUACAUGUCACAGGUUGUAGGCAUUAAUUAGGGAACCAGCAGGAUGGGAAAUCUGGUACAAAGGGGAAUUCGAAAGGCAGAUUUAUAUGUUCGAAAAGGAAAAACAUGCUGAAAUAAGUUUGCUAAAUAGAAGCAAAACAGGGCAAAACACACACACACACACACACACACACACACACACACAUACACACACACACACACCUUUUGAGGUUAUCACUUCCCCUGCACAGAAGUCUUUUGCUUCUUUACUGGACAAAAAUCUAUAAGUUAAUAUGUCUGCGCCUUAACCAAGCAACAAGGCAUUCCUCUGGAGAGCUGAAUAACCCUUGGGUGGGCCUGUGAGUUAAAGGCCUUUACACAAAGCUUUAGUCUGACUCUGAAAAGACAAUCAGUCAUCCUUUUGCCUUGUUUUCAAAUAUUAGGUAAUUUUUCUUAACGUAGUCAAACAAUGCAUGCAUUCCACCCACCUUAACAUACACAGACCCAGGUUGGUGAGAGCUGAUGGAGUGAAGAGCCACGAAUGGAUUUAUGAAGAGCCUAUGGAAAUAAAAGAUGGGGGUUUAAAGCAAGGCUAGGUCUCUGCCUUAGAAUAAGAAUCUUUAAAACCUAAAAUUAUGCUGUUGUGUCAAACCUACAGGUUUUAGAGGUAUUUUUUUACUCACAAAUUACCCGUUCCUUAGAAUCACAAUCUAGAUAGAUUUAAUUAGGCAUAAAUGAUUCCAUUACCAAAGCAAAUUAAUCGGGUUAAAUGAAACCGUAAGGGUACGCGAUAAUUAUUUUUGAUCGUCAUAAGUUACGUAGGUUACCAUAGCCCAUGAAAUAUAUACUAGCCUAUUAGGUUACUGACAAGACAAACAUUAUUUCAUCAAUAAGGCACAUUCAGACUUGGCUUAACUUUAAGGAAUGUGACACAGUUCACAUACAAACCACUCUCCAACUGAUAGUAGUUUCCAAAAACAUCUGAAUUUUUAAAAUCCCAUACUAGUUCAUUUGUAAUACCCUCUUCCCUGUUCAGAUGGUUUUUGAAGUAUCCUCUUGGUUAGAGAGAAAGAAAAGAAAACGAAUAUUAUAAAAGAACAAAGCCUGCUCUGAUGAGCAGUUUCCCCACGGAAUUUCAUUUUCUGAGUAGAGAGCAAGAUCAUCUGAUUAAAAAGCUCAAAUUUUCUGAACCUUUCUGUUGAAGUCUAUGGUGUGUAACAUGAGCACAUUUCCAUAUUCAGGUUAUGGAAAACAAGAACUCACACAAAACUUUUCCUUUAAAAGUUGAAGAAAUCUAAGACGUUGCAUGUUGGUGCAGAAAUGAGAAAUCUAAAGGUGUUUCUCACAGACUGCUUGGCUAUAUUUUUAUUUUUCCUACAAGAAAGCGAAGACAAACAUUUGGGAAAGUAUUAUAACUCAAAAGCAUGACCAAACCUAAGAAAUUUAAGUGACCGUGUCACAGAAACAUGGGAACAUAAAUUCUGUUGGCUAAUCCAAAUAGAUAAUUAAUCAUGUUCCUGACAGUGUGGAAUGCAGAUUUGCCUGCUAUUUGCAGAGACUUUAGCGGCAGGCUGAGAGCUUUCUCGAAUGCUGGAAUCUGGAGUGGCUUGAGGAGCUGCUCACUGAAGUAAGUACCUGCCAUCCAUGGAUGAUCAGAAUGAAUGCUGCUGAGACAGCAUCAGAAAUCUAACAAAAUACUGAUGAAUUACUGGGAUGAGAUCCAGCAAAGAAUGAAAACCCAUAAAGGAUGGGCCUGACACUCUGGACCAUUUCUGCUUUGGAGUUAUUAGCUGAUCUUGAAGAGACAAUUUAGAGUGUAAACUGUCUUUUUCGGGACCUCAUUGGAUUAGGGGAACAAGAGUCAGAUCAGGACCUGCCAAGGGUAGAGACCUAGUAAACCAUUCUGCAUCCCCAAUGCGCACACCUGUUAGGAGUAAGGGUGAACUGGAAGUGUCUCCUUUAGAAAGUUUCACAUCUUGAACUUGGACUAAAGUAACCCUGGAAAAAGCAAAAGAACAUCUUUUUUAGAGGAAGAAAACAUCAACCUAAACAUCAAGUUAUUUCUACAAAUUAUAUUUCAUAUAUGGUUUCUAGCACGCAAAGAUAACUAAGCCUCACUAAGAAACAGAAAACCAUGAGCAAAAAUGAGGAAAAAAUAAAUAACAAAACAGACUGAAAGGGACUCCAUCCAGAUACUGGAUAAAUCUCCCAUAUAGGUAGGUGUGGUCAUACAACCAAACUUGGUCCAAUGGGAUGCGA